RNAcentral lists this ribosomal RNA (513 nucleotides) under uncultured bacterium. RNAcentral describes it as "bacterial SSU rRNA". It matches the Rfam family "Bacterial small subunit ribosomal RNA", at positions 886 to 1398 of the family's 1533-position model. The record is from RNAcentral.
UCGCAAGGCUGAAACUCAAAGGAAUUGACGGGGGCCCGCACAAGCGGUGGAGCAUGUGGUUCAAUUCGACGCAACGCGAAGAACCUUACCUGGGCUCGAACGGCUCACGAAAGUCCUUGGAAACAGGGAUUUCCCGCAAGGGACGGGAGUCGAGGUGCUGCAUGGCUGUCGUCAGCUCGUGUCGUGAGAUGUUGGGUUAAGUCCCGCAACGAGCGCAACCCUUGUCCUGUGUUACCAUGCCGAAAGGCGGCACUCGCAGGAGACCGCCAGCGAUAAGCUGGAGGAAGGUGGGGAUGACGUCAAGUCCUCAUGGCCUUUAUGUCCAGGGCUACACACGUGCUACAAUGGGCGGUACAAAGCGCUGCUAAGUCGCAAGACGGAGCCAAUCGCAAAAAACCGCUCUCAGUUCGGAUUGCAGGCUGCAACUCGCCUGCAUGAAGCUGGAAUCGCUAGUAAUGCUAUAUCAGAACGAUAGCGUGAAUACGUUCCCGGGCCUUGUACACACCGCCCGUC